This 401-nucleotide ribosomal RNA is filed under the name uncultured bacterium. RNAcentral describes it as "bacterial SSU rRNA". It matches the Rfam family "Bacterial small subunit ribosomal RNA", at positions 357 to 776 of the family's 1533-position model. The record is from RNAcentral.
GGGAAUAUUGCACAAUGGGCGAAAGCCUGAUGCAGCAACGCCGCGUGAGCGAUGAAGGCCUUCGGGUCGUAAAGCUCUGUCCUCAAGGAAGAUAAUGACGGUACUUGAGGAGGAAGCCCCGGCUAACUACGUGCCAGCAGCCGCGGUAAUACGUAGGGGGCUAGCGUUAUCCGGAAUUACUGGGCGUAAAGGGUGCGUAGGUGGUUUCUUAAGUCAGAGGUGAAAGGCUACGGCUCAACCGUAGUAAGCCUUUGAAACUGGGGAACUUGAGUGCAGGAGAGGAGAGUGGAAUUCCUAGUGGAGCGGUGAAAUGCGUAGAUAUCAGGAGGAACACCGGUGGCGAAGGCGGCCUGCUGGACUGCGACUGACGUUGAGGCCCGAAAGCGUGGGGAGCAAACAGG